This 64-nucleotide transfer RNA is filed under the name Pirkimerus japonicus. RNAcentral describes it as "tRNA-Trp". Lineage: Eukaryota; Metazoa; Arthropoda; Insecta; Hemiptera; Blissidae. The record is from RNAcentral.
AAAGUCUUAAGUUAAAUAAACUAUUAACCUUCAAAGUUAAAAAUAUAAUUAUUUAUAGACUUAA